RNAcentral lists this ribosomal RNA (512 nucleotides) under uncultured bacterium. RNAcentral's name for it is "partial 16S ribosomal RNA". It matches the Rfam family "Bacterial small subunit ribosomal RNA", at positions 28 to 523 of the family's 1533-position model. The record is from RNAcentral.
GAUGAACGCUGGCGGCAUGCCUAAUACAUGCAAGUCGAACGAGAGGAAGGAAAGCUUGCUUUUCUGAAUCUAGUGGCGAACGGGUGAGUAACACGUAGGUAACCUGCCCAUGUGCCCGGGAUAACUUCUGGAAACGGAUGCUAAAACCGGAUAGGUAGCAGACAAGCAUUUGACUGCUCUUAAAGUGGCUAAGGCCAUGAACAUGGAUGGAGCUGCGGUGCAUUAGCUAGUUGGUGAGGUAACGGCCCACCAAGGCGACGAUGCAUAGCCGGCCUGAGAGGGCGGACGGCCACAUUGGGACUGAGACACGGCCCAAACUCCUACGGGAGGCAGCAGUAGGGAAUUUUCGUCAAUGGGGGGAACCCUGAACGAGCAAUGCCGCGUGAGUGAGGAAGGUCUUCGGAUCGUAAAGCUCUGUUGUAAGAGAAAAACGACAUUCAUAGGGAAUGAUGAGUGAGUGAUGGUAUCUUACCAGAAAGUCACGGCUAACUACGUGCCAGCCGCCGCGGUAA